CAGCCGCCGCGGUAAUACAGAGGGUGCGAGCGUUAAUCGGAUUUACUGGGCGUAAAGCGUGCGUAGGCGGCUUCUUAAGUCGGAUGUGAAAUCCCUGAGCUUAACUUAGGAAUUGCAUUCGAUACUGGGAAGCUAGAGUAUGGGAGAGGAUGGUAGAAUUCCAGGUGUAGCGGUGAAAUGCGUAGAGAUCUGGAGGAAUACCGAUGGCGAAGGCAGCCAUCUGGCCUAAUACUGACGCUGAGGUACGAAAGCGUGGGGAGCAAACAGGAUUAGAUACCCGAGUAGUCCCUGUCUCUUAUAA
RNAcentral lists this ribosomal RNA (301 nucleotides) under uncultured bacterium. RNAcentral's name for it is "partial 16S ribosomal RNA". It matches the Rfam family "Bacterial small subunit ribosomal RNA", at positions 509 to 809 of the family's 1533-position model. The record is from RNAcentral.